RNAcentral lists this transfer RNA (83 nucleotides) under Canis lupus familiaris (dog). It matches the Rfam family "tRNA". Rfam says of the family: Transfer RNA (tRNA) molecules are approximately 80 nucleotides in length. Their secondary structure includes four short double-helical elements and three loops (D, anti-codon, and T loops). Further hydrogen bonds mediate the characteristic L-shaped molecular structure. tRNAs have two regions of fundamental functional importance: the anti-codon, which is responsible for specific mRNA codon recognition, and the 3' end, to which the tRNAs corresponding amino acid is attached (by aminoacyl-tRNA synthetases). tRNAs cope with the degeneracy of the genetic code in two manners: having more than one tRNA (with a specific anti-codon) for a particular amino acid; and 'wobble' base-pairing, i.e. permitting non-standard base-pairing at the 3rd anti-codon position. The record is from Rfam by way of RNAcentral. Lineage: Eukaryota; Metazoa; Chordata; Mammalia; Carnivora; Canidae. RNAcentral also lists the same sequence under 1 other name.
GCCUGGGUGGCUCACUGGUUGAGCAUCUGCCUUUGAUGCAGGUCAUGAUACUGGGGUCCUGGGAUCGAGUCCCAUAUCAGGCU